RNAcentral lists this ribosomal RNA (405 nucleotides) under uncultured bacterium. RNAcentral describes it as "partial 16S ribosomal RNA". It matches the Rfam family "Bacterial small subunit ribosomal RNA", at positions 28 to 526 of the family's 1533-position model. The record is from RNAcentral.
GACGAACGCUGGCGGCGUGCUUAACACAUGCAAGUCGAGCGGAGCGGCGAACGGGUGAGUAACGCGUGAGUAACUGCCCCCCUCUCUGGGAUAACAGUUGGAAACGGCUGCUAAUACCGGAUAGUGGGGGAUGACUCGCGUCCUAUCCGCUUGUUGGUGGGGUAGUGGCCUAACAAGGCGACGACGGGUAGCCGGCCUGAGAGGGCGACCGGCCACAUUGGGCUGAGAUACGUCCCAAACGCGUACGGGGGGCAGCAGUGGGAAAUAAUGCACAAGGGGGGAAACCCUGAUGCAGAGACGCCGUGUGCGGGAUGACGGCGUGCGGGUUGGCAACCGCUUUCAGCCAUGACGCGGUAGUGGCAGAAGAAGCACCGGCUAACUACGUGCCAGCAGCCGCGGUAAUAC